This 86-nucleotide small RNA is filed under the name Arenibacter nanhaiticus. RNAcentral's name for it is "Arenibacter sp. NH36A Flavo-1 RNA". It matches the Rfam family "Flavo-1 RNA". Lineage: Bacteria; Pseudomonadati; Bacteroidota; Flavobacteriia; Flavobacteriales; Flavobacteriaceae. The record is from Rfam by way of RNAcentral.
UUGUAACCCGCGUUAGCUAUUGCAGCGGCAUCCUUUUUUAGGGGGCCGGCACCCUAAAAAAGAUAUAGCGGAAAGAGCGGCCCCGA